Molecule: non-coding RNA, 2528 nt
Organism: Misgurnus anguillicaudatus (oriental weatherfish)
Lineage: Eukaryota; Metazoa; Chordata; Actinopteri; Cypriniformes; Cobitidae
Source: RefSeq, a predicted model, not a curated record
ACGAUUCCUUGCAAUAUUAGCUUUUAAGUAUUUGGAUCAUUUAGAUUUUAUUUAAAUACUCGUUUUUUUAAAAUAUAUGUAAUCCGAUUUAUUAGAAUAUAUAUAAAUCUGUUCAAUUUAAAAAGUAUUAGAUUUAAUCAGUUAAAAUUUAUGAAUAUGAAUUAAAUAAAUCUAGCCGUGAAACAAACCAGAUAAAUUCUAUGAGAUUGGUUUACAUACAAAUUUCAGGAAACUGACUUUAGUAGAAGCGGAAAUGACGUCUAUUCACACUCCAGUCAGGAGGUGGCGCCAAAAUCAAAAAUAGACGCUACAGCACAUGGACUUCGCCAUUUUGUAUUGGACUGGAUCGUCAUCUCACUAGUCUACAAUCGCCAAAUUGUAGGUGAGUAAAGUUAACAAGUUUGAUGUGAUUAUCUUAAAUAUAAUUGUCUGUUGUUUAAUUACAUGUGUGACGCGUUGCAUGUUUCAGAGUAAAAUACACCUCACUACACAGACGUUUUGUUGGAAUGUAAGUUAACCUGCAGUGUCUGUUGCUUUUAUUGGUUAAUUUUUGUGGUUUAAUGUUUGAAACCUAAGAAAUAAAUAAAGUCAUAGGCUACUGUAAGCUAAUCAGAAUAAAAUUAUCAUAUAAUCUCUGUGACUUUAUUAACAAAAGAAUGUUACAAUUAUACUAUGUUGUUGAGUGCAUUGUGUGUCUAUCUAAAACUUUUUUUUUUUACAGAUACAGCAUCAUUUCAUUGUCUAUAUGGUGGGACAACCUGCUAGACAGGUUGAAGACAUCUGUAUCUACCUCAAAGAAGGCAUGGAGAGACACAUUAAAGAAUAUGUGAAUUGUGAAAUUGGUGAGUUGGGGAUUGCACAGACAGUGGAAGUUCUGCAAAACCUACUUGCUGUCACACAUGGGUGUGAAAUUGUUUUUUGGACUCAUUUAUGCACUUAAACUGACCUACCUGAAGAACCUCAAGUUCACCUUUGACGCGUUUCAAAAAAUCCUAAUGGAACUGGACUUGAUACAACCAAGCAAUCACUGAAAGAUGCUUCAGUGAAAAACUGACAAACACGCUGAUACAUCCCCCUCAAAGUGGGUACAUUUUUGUACAUUUAUAAGUGAAUUUUUUAACAUUUAAAGGAAUAUGACACUUUCAUUAAACAAAAAUCUUGAUAAUUUACUGUCUGUCAUCCAAGAUGUUUGUCUUUUUUGUUCAGUCGAGAAGAAAUUACGGGUUUUUUUUUUUGUUGAGAAAAACAUUCCAGGAUUUUUCUUAAUUUAAUAGACCUUAUUGGACAAACAGUUUAGUUUCAAUGCAGUUUAAAAUUGCAGUUUCCAAGCAGCUUUAAAGGGCUCUAUAUGAUCCCAACCGAGGCAUAAGGGUUUUACCUAUCCAAAAGAAUAUCAUUUUCGGCAAGAAAACUUUUAAAACACAAGUUCUUGUCUUGCAUUAUCCAUGUGACACACCAGUGCGACAUUGCGUACUACGUAAUAACCUUGAAUGGUUACACAUCACAAAUGUGAAAUGCACAUUUGUGGACCAUUUUAAAUAAUAAAUGGACCCAAAGACAUUAAUUAGUAUCAUUCCACAUACAACACCAUCUGAACGCUCCUCUUUCUCCUCACUUGUAAAAACUGGAGCGGUAGUUUCAAUUAUCUCAUGCUAGCGUGUCUCACAGCUAGUGCAAAACGUUGUGAUUUAAAAGUCCUCUUUUAUUUUUAUUUUUGAAAAUGACAAUCGUUUAGCUAGAUAAGACCCUUAUGCCUUAUUUGGGAUAAUUUAGAGCCCUUUUAAAUCUGCAUUGAAACUGUUAACUUGAGGUCGAAUAAAGUCUUAAAUUGAGAAAAAUCCUGGAAUGUUUAACUCAAACUUUAUUUCUUCUUGACUGAACAAAGUAAAACAUAAACAUAUGGUGUGAGAAAAUUAUCGGGAUUUUUGUUUUAUUAAAUUGGAAUAUUCCUUUAACAAUUUUAAAAGUUGAAAAGUUGAUGUAUAUCUAACAUGUAAUUAAAGAUGCAUGAAAAUUGUUAAUGGCACACAGCCACUCAAAACACUAAGCCAUGUGCCAUUUUUUUCAUUCUAAAUUAUUAUUACAUCAUGUCACAGAUUUCUGAAAAUGUUAAAGUAAUGUUGUUGUCCCUGAUUUAUUUUCUGCAGCCUGUUAAAAUGUCUGCUCUUAUUUGUGGAAUGAGGUUGAUUGUGGCUGAAAUGUCUGAAACACACUUAUUUAUUUAUUUAUUUUUGCACACAAUACGAGGUGUAUAAGCCAUAGUAUCAUGCUAGUUGCUAGCUGCUCUUUUUUGCUGCCUUAUGAGUAAUGCCUUGAAGUAUUAAAUAAAUUGAUAAAAUGUAAAACCAAGUGGUCUGGCUAUUCUUUUUUUUUUGUGUUAUUUUGUUAUAGCAUAUUGUGAUUUAGGAGAGUGAAUGGGGAGGAAUAUAUACAAAUGUAUAAAUGGUAUAUUAGUAAGAUACCUAAAUGUAAUGCAUUUUAAGUGAAUUGGGGUUAUUAAUAAAGAAUACAUAAUCCAUUUUUUUUAU